RNAcentral lists this ribosomal RNA (492 nucleotides) under uncultured bacterium. RNAcentral's name for it is "partial 16S ribosomal RNA". It matches the Rfam family "Bacterial small subunit ribosomal RNA", at positions 29 to 507 of the family's 1533-position model. The record is from RNAcentral.
AGUGAACGCUGGCGGUAGGCCUAACACAUGCCAGUCGAACGGCAGCACAGUAAGAGCUUGCUCUUACGGGUGGCGAGUGGCGGACGGGUGAGGAAUACAUCGGAAUCUACUUUUUCGUGGGGGAUAACGUAGGGAAACUUACGCUAAUACCGCAUACGACCUACGGGUGAAAGCAGGGGAUCUUCGGACCUUGCGCGAUUGAAUGAGCCGAGGUCGGAUUCGCUAGUUGGCGGGGUAAAGGCGCACCAAGGCGACGAUCGGUAGAUGGUCUGAGAGGAUGGUCACCCACACUGUAACUGAGGCAGAGUCCAGACACCUACGGGGGGAAGCAGUGGAGAAUAUUAGGGAAUGGGGGAGAGCCGAAUCCAGCCCUACCGCGUGAGGCAAGAAGGCGUUCGGCUUGGAAAGCCAUUUUGGUGGGAAAGAAGAACAGCAGGUUAAUACCCCGCGGUAAUGACGGUACCCAAAGAAUAAGCACCGGCUAACUUCGUG